RNAcentral lists this ribosomal RNA (301 nucleotides) under uncultured bacterium. Its description in RNAcentral is "partial 16S ribosomal RNA". It matches the Rfam family "Bacterial small subunit ribosomal RNA", at positions 509 to 808 of the family's 1533-position model. The record is from RNAcentral.
CAGUGCCACGGUAAUACAGAGGGUGCGAGCGUUAAUCGGAUUUACUGGGCGUAAAGCGUGCGUAGGCGGCUUCUUAAGUCGGAUGUGAAAUCCCUGAGCUUAACUUAGGAAUUGCAUUCGAUACUGGGAAGCUAGAGUAUGGGAGAGGAUGGUAGAAUUCCAGGUGUAGCGGUGAAAUGCGUAGAGAUCUGGAGGAAUACCGAUGGCGAAGGCAGCCAUCUGGCCUAAUACUGACGCUGAGGUACGAAAGCAUGGGGAGCAAACAGGAUUAGAUACCCCUGUAGUCCCUGUCUCUUAUACA